UAGGGAAUCUUCCACAAUGGACGAAAGUCUGAUGGAGCAACGCCGCGUGAGUGAAGAAGGUUUUCGGAUCGUAAAGCUCUGUUGUUGGUGAAGAAGGAUAGAGGCAGUAACUGGUCUUUAUUUGACGGUAAUCAACCAGAAAGUCACGGCUAACUACGUGCCAGCAGCCGCGGUAAUACGUAGGUGGCAAGCGUUGUCCGGAUUUAUUGGGCGUAAAGCGAGCGCAGGCGGAAUGAUAAGUCUGAUGUGAAAGCCCACGGCUCAACCGUGGAACUGCAUCGGAAACUGUCAUUCUUGAGUGCAGAAGAGGAGAGUGGAACUCCAUGUGUAGCGGUGGAAUGCGUAGAUAUAUGGAAGAACACCAGUGGCGAAGGCGGCUCUCUGGUCUGCAACUGACGCUGAGGCUCGAAAGCAUGGGUAGCGAACAGGAUUAGAUACCUGGUAGUCCAUGCCGUA
This 456-nucleotide ribosomal RNA is filed under the name uncultured bacterium. RNAcentral describes it as "partial 16S ribosomal RNA". It matches the Rfam family "Bacterial small subunit ribosomal RNA", at positions 355 to 804 of the family's 1533-position model. The record is from RNAcentral.